This 68-nucleotide transfer RNA is filed under the name Camelus bactrianus (Bactrian camel). It matches the Rfam family "tRNA". From Rfam's summary of the family: Transfer RNA (tRNA) molecules are approximately 80 nucleotides in length. Lineage: Eukaryota; Metazoa; Chordata; Mammalia; Artiodactyla; Camelidae. The record is from Rfam by way of RNAcentral. RNAcentral also lists the same sequence under 1 other name.
AGGUAUAGCUCAAGAGGUAGAGCGCAUGCUUAGCAUGCAUGAGGUCCUGAGUUCAAGUCCCAGUACCU